AGAGAGACAGGAGAGGGAGGGAGAAGAACCAAGAUGGUGGACGAGAAGGACGACCCAGAUCUGUGUGGCUUUAAAUAGCCACAGGAAGAAGAGCUGGAAAGGUGGCUCAGUGGGAUUCUUGCCACCAUGAAGCACGAGGACCUGAGUUUGAUCCCUGAAACCACAAGGUAGAAGAGAGUCAACACUUAAAAUUUGUCCUCUGACCACCACAAGCAUGUGUCGGCACACACAUUUAAUCCCUGCACUCGAGAGGCAGAGGCAGGUAGAUUCCUGUGAGUUUGAGGUCAUCUGGUCUACAUAGAAAGUCCCAGGUCAUCCAGGACUACAUAGUGAGACUUCGUGAAAACAAACAAGCAAAAAACUUAACAGUUGAUCAUAGUAAAAUUAAAUGACACCUACACGGGGACUCGUUAUAUUGCUUUCAACAGUGUCUACCCGACACUAACUGCCUAGCGUUGGGCCAGAUUUCACAGGCUCAAGGUACAGCCUCCACACAAGACCCUCCCGAUGCUUUUUCCCAGCUGUAAGCUCCAGGGUUUCUUGAUCCUUCAUGACUCUGACCAACUGACUGCAGAUUCGUAGGUUCUCACUGUGUCCUCCGACUUGGUGAUGCCCGGAGUGACUCGCAUAACACGGAAAAAUGUCAUACAUACGAGAACCGUUUUACUACAAAAGAUGUGAGAGAGACGACAUGUAGAUACUUUGAGCACAGUUUCAGAGGCGUGUAUAGUCCGAGCUUCCAAGCGUUAAGGAGCUAUCGCCCACUGCUACACUGACAUGCCAUGAUCGGGCCAAGGACUUUGUUCUUGAGCCCAUGUUCAGGGGACACUGGCAUUUCAUUAUGUAGCUUGACUGGUGUAAACAUUGGGACACAUGAGAUUGGACUCAAUCUUCUCCCUGGAAGUCAGAGAUCAGCUCCCAACACAAGACUGAAAGAUGUAACCCUCUAAUCCUGUGGCUGAAAUCCUGAAUUCUCUGGUCUGGCUGGCCAGAUCCAGAGCUAGUACCUGUAGGAUGAUGUCAUUAUGCAUCGAGGAAAGCUCCACUGAGACCAAGUACAAAGGCGACAAGUGUAUUCUGUGACCGCCACCAUCUUUUCAACCCGAGAAGUCUUUCUUCAAAACUGUAGUAUGUGGGCCAGCCUGGUCUAUUUACAGAGUGAAUUCCAGGACAGCGGCACCACACAGAGAAACCCUGUCUUGAAGAAAAAAACAAAAAAUGAAACAAACUAACAACAAAAGAAAAGAAAAAACUUCAAUCUGUAAUAAACUUCCACAUCCUCUUUCAGUUUCUGAGUGACACUCUCUCGGGAUCUCUCCGCCCUAAGUUCUUCAACAGUUUCUACAUUCAGAUUCCAAGGCUUGUGCUCAUACAUAAUGCAUAACAUUUUUAAAAAAUUUAGUAUUAC
This is a long non-coding RNA of Rattus norvegicus (Norway rat), 1408 nucleotides long. NCBI's taxonomy places the organism in Eukaryota, Metazoa, Chordata, Mammalia, Rodentia, Muridae. The record is from Ensembl.